CCUACGGGAGGCAGCAGUGGGGAAUUUUGGACAAUGGGCGCAAGCCUGAUCCAGCAAUGCCGCGUGCAGGAUGAAGGCCUUCGGGUUGUAAACUGCUUUUGUACGGAACGAAACGGCUCUUUCUAAUAAAGAGAGCUAAUGACGGUACCGUAAGAAUAAGCACCGGCUAACUACGUGCCAGCAGCCGCGGUAAUACGUAGGGUGCGAGCGUUAAUCGGAAUUACUGGGCGUAAAGCGUGCGCAGGCGGUUAUAUAAGACAGAUGUGAAAUCCCCGGGCUCAACCUGGGACCUGCAUUUGUGACUGUAUAGCUAGAGUACGGUAGAGGGGGAUGGAAUUCCGCGUGUAGCAGUGAAAUGCGUAGAUAUGCGGAGGAACACCGAUGGCGAAGGCAAUCCCCUGGACCUGUACUGACGCUCAUGCACGAAAGCGUGGGGAGCAAACAGGAUUAGAUACCCUGGUAGUCCACGCCCUAAACGAUGUCAACUGGUUGUUGGGUCUUCACUGACUCAGUAACGAAGCUAACGCGUGAAGUUGACCGCCUGGGGGUAAGGUACGGCCGCGAGUAGUUAAAGUUAAAGUUAAGAGUUAGAGGCGNGAGAGNGCGACGGACGACGACGAGGGAGGAGG
Molecule: ribosomal RNA, 629 nt
Filed under: uncultured bacterium
Lineage: Bacteria
Description: partial 16S ribosomal RNA
Rfam family: Bacterial small subunit ribosomal RNA (bases 1-542)
Source: RNAcentral